This 253-nucleotide ribosomal RNA is filed under the name uncultured bacterium. RNAcentral's name for it is "partial 16S ribosomal RNA". It matches the Rfam family "Bacterial small subunit ribosomal RNA", at positions 524 to 776 of the family's 1533-position model. The record is from RNAcentral.
UACGAAGGGGGCUAGCGUUGUUCGGAAUUACUGGGCGUAAAGCGCACGUAGGCGGGUUUGUAAGUAGAGGGUGAAAUCCCAGGGCUCAACCCUGGAACUGCCUUCUAGACUGCAAGCCUGGAGGUCAGGAGAGGCGAGUGGAAUACCGAGUGUAGAGGUGAAAUUCGUAGAUAUUCGGUGGAACACCAGUGGCGAAGGCGACUCGCUGGACUGAUACUGACGCUGAGGUGCGAAAGCGUGGGGAGUAAACAGG